RNAcentral lists this ribosomal RNA (680 nucleotides) under Buellia stillingiana. RNAcentral describes it as "mitochondrial SSU rRNA". It matches the Rfam family "Bacterial small subunit ribosomal RNA", at positions 373 to 1120 of the family's 1533-position model. The record is from RNAcentral. Lineage: Eukaryota; Fungi; Ascomycota; Lecanoromycetes; Caliciales; Caliciaceae.
UAGCGAAAGCUAGUUGUGUUUAACUUAGCUAAAACUAAGUAGGUGCAAUAUUGACUAUGUCAAAUAAAGUUCUAGGUAGAAUUAUGAUAAUGACAUUGUCUAUCUAUGUGUCUUGACCAAAUUACGUGCCAGCAGUCGCGGUAACACGUAAAAGACUAGUGUUACUCAUCUUAAAUAGGUUUAAAGGGUACCUAGACGGCCAAUCAAGCCUCAAAAGGGUACUAAUAGGCUAGAGUUUAAUAUAAGGAGGCAUGAAAGUACUGAGAAUGUAGAGAGAUGAAAUUCUGUGAUACUAUAUAUGGCACUGGUAGAGGCGAAAGCAUCUUAUUAUGUAAAAACUGACGUUGAGGGACGAAGGCUGUGUGUAGCAAAAAGGAUUAGAUACCCAAGUAGUCUCAGCAGAAAAUGAUGAAUGUUAUAGGAUAGAUAAAUUUUGUACUAUAAAUGAAAGUGUAAGCAUUCCACCUUAAGAGUAAUUUGGCAACAUUGGAACUGAAAUCAUUAGACCGUUUCUGAAACAAGUAGUGAAGUAUGUUGUUUAAUUUGAUGAUCCGCAAAAAACCUUACCACAAUUUGAAUAUAAAGAAUUUUAUACAAGCGCUGCACGGUUGUCUUCAGUUAAUGUCGUGAGAUUCUGGUUAGUUCCAUUAAAUUAACGUAAACCCUUACUUUAUUUUUUU